GAUGAACGCUGGCGGUGUGCCUAAUACAUGCAAGUCGAACGAGAUCUUCGGAUCGAGUGGCGAACGGGUGAGUAACACGUUGGUACCUACCCCGAAGUGGGGAAUAACUGCCCGAAAGGGUGGCUAAUACCGCAUAAUCCCGCAAGGGUAAAGCAGUAAUGCGCUUCGGGAGGGGCCUGCGUCUGAUUAGCUAGUUGGUAGGGUAAUGGCCUACCAAGGCGACGAUCAGUAGCUGGAUCGAGAGGUUGACCAGCCACACUGGGACUGAGA
This 270-nucleotide ribosomal RNA is filed under the name uncultured bacterium. Its description in RNAcentral is "partial 16S ribosomal RNA". It matches the Rfam family "Bacterial small subunit ribosomal RNA", at positions 28 to 324 of the family's 1533-position model. The record is from RNAcentral.